GAAGGAGGUCUGGGCUGUGCAUGCUCUGCUUUUCCUGCUGCUGGUCCAGCUCCCUGCUCAUCCUUCUCUUCCCCACGGGAUUCAUCCAGUGCACAGGAGGAAGAUUGUGAGCAGAGGAGGAGGAGCAGAGCCACCAUGUGGAGCCAGACCACAGCCCAGGGGACAGCCACCAGCUCGGGCGCGGUGUCACUGCUGACAGUCCUGAUCCUUGCUGCUGGAUCUCGGGGGAGUGGGGCACAAAAUAACUGCGUGGAGGUGACAAUGAGGAGGUAGCUUGGCUGGCUGUCCUGAAGAGAAGUCCCAACAGCAGCAGCAGCCUUGGCUGAGUAGUGUGGAGCAACAUGAGAAGAGCCAUGAGAGAGAGGAGUCCUGCCUGCCAGCCCCUCCUACCUGCAGCUUCCAGGUCCUGUGGAUAGUGCAGGCAGCAGCUUGGAGAAGAGAGUAACCACCAACACUUACUGAGUGAUCUCCUUCGGCCUCAGCCCAGCUGACUCCAGCUACUGCCCCCCCCCUCCUGCCUCAUGUACGUUCUGCUGUGGACUGCCACCCUCCCCAUCUUCUCCAGCCUCAGGUGGACUUGGAGAAGGGUUGCCACACUCAGGUGAGACCUGCUGGGCAACAAACUCUCAUGUGCAGCACAGCAACACAUCGUGCCCAGGAAUGUCCCAGGAUCUUCUAAGCAUCCCUCUGCUGCUUCAUAGCUGCCAAGUGCCACUCGCCUGGACCCGCGGGAGCUUGCAGCCUCCCUGUGUGUGUGGUGCACAUCUGUGUGCCUGCAUUCCAGCCUGCUCCUGCCUUUCCUGCUGUCCACAGGGGCGCUGUGCAAGCCUCACUCCGCACCUGUAACACUACCCACAUCCAGGCUCCUUCUCUGCUUACGGCUGUGUUGCUUCUCUUCCACCAGCAGGCUGCUCUGACUGCCUUCCCCAGGGUGGGCUGGAUCGCGAAGGGAUUAAAAAGCUCAUUGAGAGCAGUGGAAAGCAACUGUC
Long non-coding RNA from Pogoniulus pusillus (Red-fronted tinkerbird), 989 nucleotides. RefSeq lists it as uncharacterized. The record is from RefSeq and is a predicted model, not a curated record. Lineage: Eukaryota; Metazoa; Chordata; Aves; Piciformes; Lybiidae. The transcript has 5 exons.